RNAcentral lists this small RNA (881 nucleotides) under Pongo abelii (Sumatran orangutan). RNAcentral's name for it is "retained intron". Lineage: Eukaryota; Metazoa; Chordata; Mammalia; Primates; Hominidae. The record is from RNAcentral.
AGAUGGCGGACAAAACGCCAGGCGGAUCUCAGAAGGCCAGUUCAAAGACGAGAUCAUCAGAUGUUCAUUCAUCUGGAUCUUCGGAUGCACAUAUGGAUGCAUCUGGACCCUCAGAUAGUGAUAUGCCAAGUCGGACACGACCUAAGAGCCCAAGAAAACAUAAUUAUAGGAAUGAAAGUGCCCGUGAAAGCCUUUGUGAUUCUCCUCAUCAGAAUCUCUCAAGACCUCUUCUGGAAAACAAACUUAAAGCAUUCAGUAUUGGAAAAAUGAGUACAGCUAAGCGAACUUUAAGUAAAAAGGAACAGGAAGAAUUAAAGAAAAAGGAGGAUGAAAAGGCAGCUGCUGAGAUUUAUGAGGAGUUUCUUGCUGCUUUUGAAGGAAGUGAUGGUAAUAAAGUGAAAACAUUUGUGCGAGGAGGUGUUGUUAAUGCAGCUAAAGAAGAACAUGAAACAGAUGAAAAAAGAGGUAAAAUCUAUAAGCCAUCUUCAAGAUUUGCAGAUCAAAAAAAUCCUCCAAAUCAGUCUUCCAAUGAAAGACCACCAUCUCUUCUUGUGAUAGAAACCAAAAAACCUCCACUUAAAAAAGGAGAGAAAGAAAAGAAAAAAAGCAAUUUGGAACUCUUCAAAGAAGAAUUAAAGCAAAUUCAAGAGGAACGUGAUGAGAGACAUAAAACAAAAGGCAGAUUAAGUCGAUUUGAACCUCCUCAGUCAGAUUCUGAUGGUCAGCGUCGUUCUAUGGACGCGCCUUCAAGAAGAAAUAGAUCAUCUGUUCUUGAUGAUUACGCACCUGGCUCACAUGAUGUAGGAGAUCCAAGCACUACUAAUUUAUACCUUGGAAACAUUAAUCCACAGGUAAUAUUAAGUAAGAUGAAUGUUGAUUGA